UUAUCUCUGUAGAGUCUGCAUAUCAAUAAGCGGAGGAAAAGAAACUAACUAAGGAUUCCCUCAGUAACGGCGAGUGAAGCGGGAAGAGCUCAAAUUUGAAAUCUUCAAGGUUCUACCUUGACGAAUUGUAGUUUAAAGAAGUGUUUUCUGUUGGAGUUUUCGGUAAAAGUUCUUUGGAAUAGGACAUCAUAGAGGGUGAGAAUCCCGUACUUUGACCAUUAUUUUCAGCUGUGUGAUACACUUUCAACGAGUCGGAUUGUUUGGGAAUGCAGUCCAAAAUGGGUGGUAAAUUUCAUCUAAAGCUAAAUAUUGGCGAGAGACCGAUAGCGAACAAGUACCGUGAGGGAAAGAUGAAAAGAACUUUGAAAAGAGAGUUAAACAGUACGUGAAAUUGUCAAAAGGGAAGCGUCUGACACCAGUGUUGUUUUUCCGAAAAUCAAUUACGAAUGUUUUGUUUUUAAGGAAGUUAUGACUUCAUCGGCUUGCUCCUUUCUUUACGAAACUUUCUUAAUGCACUUUUCGGUUAACAAGUCAACAUCAAUUUCUUUUGUUGUAAAAGGGUCAUUGGAAGGUGGCUUUCUUUUCGGAGAAAGUGUUUAUAGCCUUUGAUCUCUGCAACCGGAGAGACUGAGGUCUGCAGCGUAGAUCCUUCGGGGUUAGAUACAUUUGUGCUAAGUUAUAGCCUUUCAUAGACAACUUGUUGACUAUGAUCAGUCAUGUAGCUUACUCGCUUAUGCUAUUUUACCUACGCUUAGGAUGUUGAGUAGCGACAUACGCAC
RNAcentral lists this ribosomal RNA (779 nucleotides) under uncultured Neocallimastigales. RNAcentral's name for it is "partial large subunit ribosomal RNA". It matches the Rfam family "Eukaryotic large subunit ribosomal RNA", at positions 24 to 649 of the family's 3401-position model. The record is from RNAcentral. Lineage: Eukaryota; Fungi; Neocallimastigomycota; Neocallimastigomycetes; Neocallimastigales.